This 958-nucleotide ribosomal RNA is filed under the name Aeromonas sobria. RNAcentral's name for it is "bacterial SSU rRNA". It matches the Rfam family "Bacterial small subunit ribosomal RNA", at positions 60 to 1009 of the family's 1533-position model. Lineage: Bacteria; Pseudomonadati; Pseudomonadota; Gammaproteobacteria; Aeromonadales; Aeromonadaceae. The record is from RNAcentral.
AGUCGAGCGGCAGCGGGAAUUAGCUUGCUACUUUUGCCGGCGAGCGGCGGACGGGUGAUUAAUGCCUGGGGAUCUGCCCAGUCGAGGGGGAUAACAGUUGGAAACGACUGCUAAUACCGCAUACGCCCUACGGGGGAAAGGAGGGGACCUUCGGGCCUUUCUCGAUUGGAUGAACCCAGGUGGGAUUAGCUAGUUGGUGGGGUAAUGGCUCACCAAGGCGACGAUCCCUAGCUGGUCUGAGAGGAUGAUCGCCACACUGGAACUGAGACACGGUCCAGACUCCUACGGGAGGCAGCAGUGGGGAAUAUUGCACAAUGGGGGAAACCCUGAUGCAGCCAUGCCGCGUGUGUGAAGAAGGCCUUCGGGUUGUAAAGCACUUUCAACGAGGAGGAAAGGUUGGCAGCUAAUAUCUGUCAGCUGUGACGUUACUCGCACAAAAACCACCGGCUAACUCCGUGCCAUCAGCCGCGGUAAUACGGAGGGUGCAAUCGUUGAUCUGAAUUACUGGGCGUAAAGCGCACGCAGGCGGUUGGAUAAUUUAGAUGUGAAAGCCCCGGGCUCAACCUGGUAAUUGCAUUUAUGACUGUUCAACUAGAGUCUUGUAUAGGGGGGUAGAAUUCCAGGUGUAGCGAUGAAAUGCGUAGAGAUCUGUACGAAUACCGGUGGCUAAGGCUGCCCCCUGGACAAAGACUGACACUCAGGUGCGAAAGCGUGAUGAGCUAACCUGAUUAGAUACCCUGGUAGUCCACGCCAUACCGAUGUCGAUUUGCAGGCUGUGUCCUUGAGACGUGGCUUCCGGAGCUAACGCGUUAAAUCAACCGCCUGGAAGUACGGCCGCAAGGUUAAAACUCAGAUGACUUGACCGGGGCCCGCACAAGCUGAGGAGCAUGUGGUUUAAUUCGAUGUAACGCGAAUAACCUUACCUGGCCUUGACAUGUCUGGAAUCCUGUAUAGAUAC